UCCAACAUAACUAUUGUCGUUAAAAAAUAUAAUCCUCUUUGGGCAUUAAAAUAAGAGGAAUUCCUCGCCAACAUAAUAUAUAAGUCUUGAGUGUAGCAUGGAUCAGCAAAAAAAAUUAGUACAUCUCAAACAUGGAAAUCUCAAAGCUCCUUAGUAAUCUGCCAAGAAAUUCCAUUUAUUUUUAUCAAUCUGCAGUUGAAAUAUCUUCUUCAAUGAACACCAAUAUACAUAGAAUUAGGAUGCACAUAACAAAAUUUGAAGAAAAAAAUUGGAAGAAAUAAGAAGAGUACUUUUCUUGUAGAGACAUGGUUGUUUCACAUCAGAUCGUACUGUUCCAGUUCUCUUCUGCAUAUGAUAGUUAAGAAUCACUAUAGCAUCAAUACUCCUGCAAGAACAUAGAAAUACCAAAAACGUUUGCCUUCAAAUUUUCACAAAGAAAAUAGCCAAAUAUCAUAACAAACGGCUUCGUUCGUG
This 474-nucleotide long non-coding RNA is filed under the name Erythranthe guttata (spotted monkey flower). Its description in RNAcentral is "long non-coding RNA (EGUT_LNC001928)". Lineage: Eukaryota; Viridiplantae; Streptophyta; Magnoliopsida; Lamiales; Phrymaceae. The record is from RNAcentral.